Molecule: ribosomal RNA, 1395 nt
Filed under: bacterium NLAE-zl-P298
Lineage: Bacteria
Description: 16S ribosomal RNA
Rfam family: Bacterial small subunit ribosomal RNA
Source: RNAcentral
CAUGCNAGUCGAGGGGCAGCAUUUCAGUUUGCUUGCAAACUGGAGAUGGCGACCGGCGCACGGGUGAGUAACACGUAUCCAACCUGCCGAUAACUCGGGGAUAGCCUUUCGAAAGAAAGAUUAAUACCCGAUGGNAUAAUCAGACCGCAUGGUCUNAUUAUUAAAGAAUUUCGGUUAUCGAUGGGGAUGCGUUCCAUUAGGCAGUUGGUGAGGUAACGGCUCACCAAACCUUCGAUGGAUAGGGGUUCUGAGAGGAAGGUCCCCCACAUUGGAACUGAGACACGGUCCAAACUCCUACGGGAGGCAGCAGUGAGGAAUAUUGGUCAAUGGGCGCAGGCCUGAACCAGCCAAGUAGCGUGAAGGAUGACUGCCCUAUGGGUUGUAAACUUCUUUUAUAUGGGAAUAAAGUUUUCCACGUGUGGAAUUUUGUAUGUACCAUAUGAAUAAGGAUCGGCUAACUCCGUGCCAGCAGCCGCGGUAAUACGGAGGAUCCGAGCGUUAUCCGGAUUUAUUGGGUUUAAAGGGAGCGUAGGUGGACAGUUAAGUCAGUUGUGAAAGUUUGCGGCUCAACCGUAAAAUUGCAGUUGAUACUGGCUGUCUUGAGUACAGUAGAGGUGGGCGGAAUUCGUGGUGUAGCGGUGAAAUGCUUAGAUAUCACGAAGAACUCCGAUUGCGAAGGCAGCUCACUGGACUGCAACUGACACUGAUGCUCGAAAGUGUGGGUAUCAAACAGGAUUAGAUACCCUGGUAGUCCACACAGUAAACGAUGAAUACUCGCUGUUUGCGAUAUACAGUAAGCGGCCAAGCGAAAGCAUUAAGUAUUCCACCUGGGGGAGUACGCCGGCAACGGUGAAACUCAAAGGAAUUGACGGGGGCCCGCACAACCGAAGGAACAUGUGGUUUAAUUCGAUGAAACGCGAGGAACCUUACCCGGGCUUAAAUUGCAUUUGAAUANUNUGGAAACAGNUUAGCCGCAAGGCAAAUGUGAAGGUGCUGCAUGGUUGUCGUCAGCUCGUGCCGUGAGGUGUCGGCUUAAGUGCCAUAACGAGCGCAACCCUUAUCUUUAGUUACUAACAGGUCAUGCUGAGGACUCUAGAGAGACUGCCGUCGUAAGAUGUGAGGAAGGUGGGGAUGACGUCAAAUCAGCACGGCCCUUACGUCCGGGGCUACACACGUGUUACAAUGGGGGGUACAGAAGGCAGCUACCUGGUGACAGGAUGCUAAUCCCAAAAGCCUCUCUCAGUUCGGAUCGAAGUCUGCAACCCGACUUCGUGAAGCUGGAUUCGCUAGUAAUCGCGCAUCAGCCAUGGCGCGGUGAAUACGUUCCCGGGCCUUGUACACACCGCCCGUCAAGCCAUGAAAGCCGGGGGUACCUGAAGUACGAACCGCAAGGAG